UUAAAUCUAUGGUCUAUAGAGUUUGGUAAUAAAAGAAACAAUAUUUCUCCAAUCCAUCAUUUCUCCAAUCCAUCAGGCUCCUAUUCUUCAGACAACUUUCCUCAAGUCCUUGGCAGGAUACACGCAAGACUAAGAACUUAUAAUUCUCCAGCAGGGGAGGAACAUUCCUGAUAAUGGGUUUUGUUUUUCACCACCUCAUGGACGCUUUUUGGAUGCUUCAUUGAUAAAUUGGCUGAUUUGGACAACUCCUUUUGAGAGGGGAGGAAUGGAGGUGAUGGUAAGGGGUUUCAACAAUAAACCUGAAAACAGGAAGAACCUGAUUUUUGGAUGGCAACUUUGUCCAUCAGGUUCAUCUAAACAGCAGUUCAGUGUGCUGCCUCUGCGUACACUCAAUUUUGGUUCAGGACUUGGGAUAAGUAAGCAUUCUUGCUACUAUUUCACACCAAUGCACCCCAUCCCAUUAAUUGAAAUAAAGUGAGAAAGAGGCCCAGAAGCUGUGGUCUUUGCCGGCAUUCCUUAGACCAUUUUGGUUUCCUUAUCUGGACCACUAGCAGCAUCCAGAGGUGUGUGGCUAGAAGGUCACAACAUAAUUUCAAAGCUGAAAUACAAAACUUUUUUCCCAGAACAUCUUCCUAGGCUGGAGAAGAAAAUGCUUAUGAUUUGUUUUCAUUUGUUCUUUCCUAUUUUUUUUUCCAACUGCAGCUGACAUACAUGAUUGGUUAUUAUUUAUUUCCAUCUCAUUCUGGGUUCUGAAAGUUUCCCCAAGGCACUGGUGUGUGUGAACUUUCAGAUUUCACUUGGGAAUGGCUGGCCUCAUCCCCUCUGCUCCACUGGGAUCCCUGGUGAAGAUUUCUAAGAGACUUGUGUCCAGAGAUAAGACUGAGAUCCCUAAUGGAGCAGGUGACUCAGGACACUGUGAAGAAGUCCAGCGACAAGGACCGGGCUUACAUCAAAGACUGGUUAAGUCAUAUGCUGAUUUGUAUUAUCCUAGCAUUAAA
This is a long non-coding RNA of Lagenorhynchus albirostris (white-beaked dolphin), 998 nucleotides long. RefSeq lists it as uncharacterized. The record is from RefSeq and is a predicted model, not a curated record. The transcript has 3 exons. Lineage: Eukaryota; Metazoa; Chordata; Mammalia; Artiodactyla; Delphinidae.